GUGAGCCAAGGUCAUGCCACUGCACUUCAGCCUGGGUAACAGAUUGAGACUCCAUCUCAAAAAAAAAAAAAAAAUAAGUGGUCACUAAAGAAGAUAUCCAGUUGGUAAAUAUGCACAUGAAAAGAUGCUCAACAUGAUUAGUCAGUAGGAAAAUGCAAAUUAAAACCACAGUGUGAUUCCACUUCUCACCCAUUACUAUGGGUAAUGUUUGGGAAAAAACUGACAAUACCAAGUGCCAAUGAUGACGCAGAAUAACUAAGUGUUAGAAGGAAUGCAAAAUUGUACAACAGUCACCCUGGAGAAUGGUUUGCCAGUUUCUUAUAUAUUUCAACACAUACCGUAUGACCUAUCAAUCUCACGGCUAGGUAUUUACUUAAGUAAAAGAAAAAUUUACAUUUAUAUAAAAAUCAGUACAUGAUAUCUGUGACAGCUCUAUUAGUAAUUGCCAAGAAUGGCAUGCAUACAAGGGAAUAUUUUAGCAAUGGGAAUAGCGCGUAUCUUCAUUAUGCUGGUAUUACCUGAGUGUAUACGUUUGUCAAAUCUCAUCAAAACGUACAUUUAAAAUUGGUGAGUUUUCUCAUAACCACACCUCAAUAAAACUCACUUUAAAAAAUUCUCUAAUCAGUUUAAAGAUUGUAUAGAAGGAGAUUUUAAGAGGAGCUGAAAAAACAGUGGCUUGGUAAGCAAAAUAGAAUUAUUAAAAGCCCCAAGUACUUUGAUUUCCUAAUGUUCAGUAUUUAGUGUUGCCACAUUGAUAGGAGCUUCUAGAGCAUUUAUAUUACUUUGACUCUCAUUUUUUCUUACUAUAAUUUUCUAAAAAAUAGAAAAUCUGCCUCCUGGAGAGAUAAAACAGAGGUCCAGUGCAAAUAGGAAUAAUGCAUAACUUCAUACUGGGUUGAUUCAUGUCUUCUAUGAAAGAAAUUAUUUUUUCAAGUUGCACGUAGUUUUAUUUGGAAAGUCAGUACCUGUUGAAUUAUUUUUGUUACCCUUAUUAUCAUGAAGUUUUGUGUUUUACUUCUCACAAGCAUUUAUUUCCUUUAAGCACAACACUGACUUUGACUGAAAGACAAAGGAAGUCAUAGCACCUCAAAGCUUGGUGAAUAAUGAAACAAAUGAUGAUACAUCCACACCACAGAAUCCUACUCAGCAAGAAAAAUAAACUAUUACUGCCUGCACAAAUUGGAUAAACCUCAAGGGAGUUACUCUGAGUGGAAAAAGCCAAUAUCAAAAGGUUUCGGGAAUAAAGGAGCAAGGAAGUUGGCAGCAUCUACAAAAUGAUAGCACAAAGGAGCCCUGUGAUGGAAGUGACCUGUACUUUGAGUGCAGUGAUGCUGUGGGGACCUGUUAGCAUCUUCUGUGUCAUCUCAUCCUCAUGGCAACCUUGUAAGGAAGAAGCCAACUUCAGGACAUUAAGCUACCAUAAGAAAAGAAACAGGAGGAUUCUCUUCUUUUGGAUCGUAUGGUACAGAUGCCGUGUGAAUGCCUAAUGAGUGGGAUCUGAACACAACUCUGCUAAUAAGGAAGUCUCCAAAAUGUAGUUCCUAGCUGUCCAGUUCCUGUGAUUCUUGAACAGUUGUUGAAGAGGAUGAGUAUAUUGUUGAAUGCCAACACAUAGUUCUGUUUUCCUUCACAGAGACAAUAUACAUGGGGAAUCAUCCCCAAAUAGAAAGAUGAGUUGCAUGCUGAACCAAAAGAUUACAGCAGUGUACAUAACAAUGUAACACUCAAAAGUUCUUUAUAUAAUAUGUGUUUCUAAACAGAUGAAAGCAUCCAAUAAAAAUUGAUUUUUAAACCACCAGUAAAUCUCUCUAAGUCAUUUUCAAACAUGAUCUUACGGUCUAUGUACCAUGA
RNAcentral lists this long non-coding RNA (1851 nucleotides) under Homo sapiens (human). RNAcentral describes it as "HSALNT0308615". Lineage: Eukaryota; Metazoa; Chordata; Mammalia; Primates; Hominidae. The record is from RNAcentral.